CUUCGUCCGAAAGGUGAGCGGUACGAUUAGAAAUGUCCGUGGGGCCUCGCGAGAUGUGGGAGUGGUAAAUCCGCCCACGCAAAAUCAAGUGAGGUAACUGAGUGCGUUUAUGUUCACGAAAUCAUCGGCAGGACGUUCAAGAAAAGCUUCGUAGGGUUAAAACCUAGUUGACCGUACUAAAACUGACACAGGUAGGCGAGACGAGUAGUCUAAGGCGCUCGGGAGAAUAGUGGUUAAGGAACUCUGCAAAAUGACCCCGUAAGUUCGCGAUAAGGGGUGCCGGGAGCGGUUUACGCUGCCCCCGGCCACAGUAAAUCGGCUUCUGCGACUGUUUAUCAAAAACACAGGACUCUGCUAACACGUAAGUGGAUGUAUAGAGUCUGACGCCUGCCCGGUGUCGGUAGGUUAAGGUAGAGGGUUAGCCGCAAGGCGAAGCUCACGACCGAAGCCCCGAUAAACGGCGGCCGUAACUAUGACGGUCCUAAGGUAGCGAAGCUCCUUGUCGGGUAUGUUCCGACCUGCAUGAGAGGCGCAACGACAGAAGCACUGUCUCAACCACUAACCCGGUGAAAUUGUAGUCGUGGUGAAGAUGCCACGUUCCCGCAGCUAGACGGAAAGACCCCGUGAACCUUCACUGUAGGCUGAUAUUGGGCUCGUGUUUAAACUGUGUAGGAUAGGUGGGAGGCUUCGAUCCUCAUGCGCCAGCAUGAGGGGAGCCGUCGGUGAAAUACCACCCUUUUUAUGCAUAAGUUCUAACGUUGAUUCCCGUGUAACCGGGCAACGGACAGUGUCAGUUGGGCAGUUUGACUGGGGCGGUCUCCUCCUAAAGAGUAACGGAGGAGCCCAAUAGGUACCCUCAGCCUGGUUGGUAAUCAGGCUUCGAGCGUAAAGGUAGAAGGGUGCUAAACUGCGAGACUUAUCAGUCGAGCAGGUACGAAAGUAGGGCUUAGUGAUCCGGUAAUCCCGUGUGGAAGGGUUAUCGCUCAACAGAUAAAAGGUACUCCGGGGAUAACAGGCUUAUCGCUCCCGAGCGUCCAUAGCGGCGGAGCGGUUUGGCACCUCGAUGUCGGCUCAUCACAUCCUGGGGGUGGAGAAGCUCCCAAGGGUUCGGCUGUUCGCCGAUGAAAGUGGUACGUGAGCUGGGUUCAGACCGUCGUGAGACAGGUCGGUCCCUAUCUACUGUGGGCGCACGAAACUUGCGGAGGUUCUUCUUUAGUACGAGAGGAUUUAGAAGGACAGCCCUCUGGUGUUCCAGUUGUCGCGCUAGCGGCAUGGCUGGAUAGCUAUGGCUGGAUAGGAUAAACGCUGAAGGCAUCUAAGCGUGAAGCCCGCUCCAAGAUCAGGUUUCGUAGAGCAAUUGCUCGAAAGUCCCCUGGAAGACGACCAGGUUGAUAGGCCGGAUGUGUAAGCGUAGCAAUACGUUCAGCUAACCGGUACUAACGGACGAACGCUUGGCCG
This 1458-nucleotide ribosomal RNA is filed under the name metagenome. Its description in RNAcentral is "bacterial LSU rRNA". It matches the Rfam family "Bacterial large subunit ribosomal RNA", at positions 1473 to 2925 of the family's 2925-position model. The record is from RNAcentral.